RNAcentral lists this ribosomal RNA (254 nucleotides) under uncultured bacterium. RNAcentral describes it as "partial 16S ribosomal RNA". It matches the Rfam family "Bacterial small subunit ribosomal RNA", at positions 524 to 776 of the family's 1533-position model. The record is from RNAcentral.
UACGGGGGGAGCAAGCGUUGUUCGGAUUUACUGGGCGUAAAGGGCGGGUAGGCGGCCACCGCAAGUCGACUGUGAAAUCUCCGGGCUUAACCCGGAAAGGUCAGCCGAUACUGCGGGGCUAGAGUGCGGAAGGGGCUACUGGAAUUCUCGGUGUAGCGGUGAAAUGCGUAGAUAUCGAGAGGAACACCUGCGGCGAAGGCGGGUUGCUGGGCCGACACUGACGCUGAUGCGCGAAAGCGUGGGGAGCAAACGGG